RNAcentral lists this ribosomal RNA (2163 nucleotides) under human gut metagenome. RNAcentral describes it as "bacterial LSU rRNA". It matches the Rfam family "Bacterial large subunit ribosomal RNA", at positions 870 to 2925 of the family's 2925-position model. The record is from RNAcentral.
UUCUCGCCUGCUUCUUGUUCUUUUUGAGUUAAACUCUCUAAAGGAUUCAAUACGGAUGGGCCUUGUUGGUUACUGAGAUCUGCUAAACUCCGAAUGCGCGUUAAGUUGGUGGGGCAGUCAGACAGCGGGGGAUAAGCUUCGUUGUCGAGAGGGAAACAGCCCUGAUCAUCGGUUAAGGUCCCUAAGUGUGUGCUGAGUGGAAAAGGAUGUGUAGUUGCGUUGACAGCCAGGAGGUUGGCUUAGAAGCAGCCACCCUUGAAAGAGUGCGUAAUAGCUUACUGGUCGAGUGAUUGUGCGCCGAUAAUGUAGUGGGGCUUAAGCAUGCCACCGAAACUGUGACUACAACAUUUUUUGUUGUGGGGUAGGGGAGCGUCCUGCAUUGUUGUAGCGGCCUGGUGAUGGGUCGUGUGUGGUGUGGGAGUGAGAAUGCAGGCAUGAGUAGCGAGUCCAGCGUGAGAAUCGCUGGCGCCGAUAAACUAAGGGUUCCAGGGGAAGGUUUAUCCGCCCUGGGUUAGUCGGGUCCUAAGGCGAGGCCGUCAGGCGUAGUCGAUGGUUGAGCAGUUGAUAUUCUGCUACCGGGAUAGGACCGUUUUGUGAUGCUCUUACUUUUGAGCUUGACGCCCUUUUCAGUUUUUGUCUUCCUUCGGGUUGGCAGGGAUUGUUGGGUUUUGGGUUUUUGGUUUGAGUGUUUUAGCUUCGUGGUGACACAGUGAGAUUGCCUGGCGCGGUGGUGGUUUACCGUGUUCAAGCCUGUAGCCUGUCUUCUAGGUUAAAUCCGGGAGGCGUUAAGGGUGAGGGGUGAUGGUGAGGCCCUUUUGGGUCGAUAACAGGGUUGGUCUGUACUGUCGAGAAAAGCUGCGUUGUGAGGUUUUGUUCCGCCCGUACCCUAAACCGACUCUGGUAGUUGGGUAGAGAAUACUAAGGCGAGCGAGUGAAUCGUGGUUAAGGAAUUCGGCAAAUUGCCUCCGUAACUUCGGGAGAAGGAGGCCCCACCCUUUGAAACUGCUUUUCGUGGUUAGGGGGUGUGGGGUGCAAUAGCAAGAUGGAAGCGACUGUUUAUCAAAAACAUAGGUGCGUGCGAAGCCGUAAGGCGAGGUAUACGCACUGACGCCUGCCCGGUGCCGGAAGGUUAAGAGGAGCUGUUAGCUUUGGCGAAGCGGUGAAUUUAAGCCCCGGUAAACGGCGGUGGUAACUAUAACCAUCCUAAGGUAGCGAAAUUCCUUGUCGGGUAAGUUCCGACCUGCACGAAUGGCGUAACGACUUCUGUGCUGUCUUGACCGCGAACUCGGCGAAAUUGCAUUACGAGUAAAGAUGCUCGUUACGCGCAGCAGGACGGAAAGACCCCGGGACCUUUACUAUAGCUUGGUAUUGGUGGCUGGUUGUGUUUGUGUAGGAUAGGUGGGAGACGUUGAAGCAGGAACGCUAGUUUUUGUGGAGUCGGCAAGUGAAAUACCACUCUGAUGUUGCUGGUUAUCUGAACCUGGGCCCAUUAUCUGGGUUAGGGACAGUGCCUGGUGGGUAGUUUAACUGGGGCGGUUGCCUCCUAAAUGGUAACGGAGGCGCUCAAAGGUUUCCUCAUCCUGGUUGGUAAUCAGGGUUCGAGUGUAAGUGCACAAGGAAGCUUGACUGUGACACUGACGGGUGGAGCAGGUACGAAAGUAGGAACUAGUGAUCCGGCAAUGGCUUAUGGAAGCGUUGUCGCUCAACGGAUAAAAGGUACCCCGGGGAUAACAGGCUGAUCUUGCCCAAGAGUCCAUAUCGACGGCAUGGUUUGGCACCUCGAUGUCGGCUCGUCGCAUCCUGGGGCUGGAGUUGGUCCCAAGGGUUGGGCUGUUCGCCCAUUAAAGCGGUACGCGAGCUGGGUUCAGAACGUCGUGAGACAGUUCGGUCCCUAUCCGCUGCGCGCGUUAAGACUUGAAAAAGUCCUGUCCCUAGUACGAGAGGACCGGGAUGGACGAACCUCUGGUGUGCCAGUUGUACCGCCAGGUGCAUGGCUGGUUGGCUAUGUUCGGAAAGGAUAACCGCUGAAAGCAUCUAAGCGGGAAGCCUGCUUUAAGAUGAGGUCUUUUAGGUUCCCAGCAGACUACUGGGUAGAUAGGCCAGAAGUGUACACGUUGUAAAACGCAAAGCUGACUGGUACUAAAGAACCAUUAAAAAACAAAA